Long non-coding RNA from Penaeus indicus, 534 nucleotides. RefSeq lists it as uncharacterized. The record is from RefSeq and is a predicted model, not a curated record. The transcript has 3 exons. NCBI's taxonomy places the organism in Eukaryota, Metazoa, Arthropoda, Malacostraca, Decapoda, Penaeidae.
UGGAAUCAAAACGAAAAAUCGAGGAAUCUGUCAGCGUGUCCUUCACGGUCGUUUGGCAAGUGAAAGAAAGUUUGCUGUUGCUGUCCGUCUUAAUACAGCACUUCAGUUAACGCGCAACCGAGUGUUCUGCAACAUCUCGUACUCUUGGAAGUUGUACUGAUUUUAACGAAAUAACAUUCUUAUUUUUGGAUCACAAUCUUUGUAAGUGACACAUACGGAAGAUGCGCGGUAUAAGUGCGGCGAUACUGAUGACAGCGAUGUUAGCCGUGACGUUAAGCCUAGGCGAGGCGCUGACCUGCUACGUCUCGAGCUGUGAUUUUCGAGGACGAUGUCAAGAUCGAGUGACAUCUUGUGCGGGUUCCUGCGCCGUCAAGUUCGAGGUGGACGAUGAUGGUAUUAAAAGCGUGUUCGUUUUUCGGUUAAACUUGAUUCUUGAUUCUCCGUUCGCUAAGUUGGUCUGUUAUUAGAUUGGAUUAGUAUGUUUUCAUUGGUUUAAUGUGGUGUUCGUUGUGCCUUAUCCUUAUGGGAAGCUGU